Molecule: ribosomal RNA, 514 nt
Filed under: Mycobacterium sp. N097
Lineage: Bacteria; Bacillati; Actinomycetota; Actinomycetes; Mycobacteriales; Mycobacteriaceae
Description: bacterial SSU rRNA
Rfam family: Bacterial small subunit ribosomal RNA
Source: RNAcentral
UGGAGAGUUUGAUCCUGGCUCAGGACGAACGCUGGCGGCGUGCUUAACACAUGCAAGUCGAACGGAAAGGUCUCUUCGGAGAUACUCGAGUGGCGAACGGGUGAGUAACACGUGGGUAAUCUGCCCUGCACUUCGGGAUAAGCCUGGGAAACUGGGUCUAAUACCGAAUAGGACCACUUGGCGCAUGCCUUGUGGUGGAAAGCUUUUGCGGUGUGGGAUGGGCCCGCGGCCUAUCAGCUUGUUGGUGGGGUGAUGGCCUACCAAGGCGACGACGGGUAGCCGGCCUGAGAGGGUGUCCGGCCACACUGGGACUGAGAUACGGCCCAGACUCCUACGGGAGGCAGCAGUGGGGAAUAUUGCACAAUGGGCGCAAGCCUGAUGCAGCGACGCCGCGUGGGGGAUGACGGCCUUCGGGUUGUAAACCUCUUUCACCAUCGACGAAGGUCCGGGUUUUCUCGGAUUGACGGUAGGUGGAGAAGAAGCACCGGCCAACUACGUGCCAGCAGCCGCGGUA